AACGAACGCUGGCGGCGUGCUUAACACAUGCAAGUCGAACGGUAAGGCCCUUCGUGGUACACGAGUGGCGAACAGGUGAGUAACGCGUGAGUAACCUUCCCUUCACUCUCGGAUAACAGUUGGAAACGGCUGCUAAUACCCUAUAUUCAGCUCCUUUCUCAUGGUGGGGGUUGGACAGUUUUGGUUGUGUAGGAUGGGCUCUCGUCGUCUCAGCUUGGUGGUGGGGUUAUGGCCUCCCAAGGCGUCGACGGGUAGCCGGCCUGGGAGGGCGGCCGGACACAUUGGGACUGAGAUAAGGCACAAACUCCAACGGGAGGCAGGAGUGGGGAAGAGUGCACUAUGGGAGGAAGCAUGAUGCAGUAACGCAGUGUGCGGGAUGACGGCAUUCGGGUAGUAAACCGCAUUCAGCAGGCACGAAGCGAAAGUGACGGUACCUGCAGAAGAAGCACCGGCUAACUACGUG
Molecule: ribosomal RNA, 463 nt
Filed under: uncultured bacterium
Lineage: Bacteria
Description: partial 16S ribosomal RNA
Rfam family: Bacterial small subunit ribosomal RNA
Source: RNAcentral